UACGGAGGGUGCAAGCGUUGCUCGGAAUUAUUGGGCGUGAAGGGCAGGUAGGUGGUCUCAUUUGUCGGGGGUGAAAGCCUUGGGCUUAACUCAAGAAGUGCCCCCGAAACGGUGAGACUAGAGUACUGGAGAGGGUCGUGGAAUUCCCGGUGUAGCGGUGAAAUGCGUAGAUAUCGGGAAGAACACCCGUGGCGAAGGCGGUUCUCUGGGACGGUACUGACGCUGAGACGCGAAAGCGUGGGGAGCGAACAGG
This 253-nucleotide ribosomal RNA is filed under the name uncultured bacterium. Its description in RNAcentral is "partial 16S ribosomal RNA". It matches the Rfam family "Bacterial small subunit ribosomal RNA", at positions 524 to 776 of the family's 1533-position model. The record is from RNAcentral.